This is a small nucleolar RNA of Xyrauchen texanus (razorback sucker), 72 nucleotides long. RefSeq annotates it as small nucleolar RNA SNORD47. Lineage: Eukaryota; Metazoa; Chordata; Actinopteri; Cypriniformes; Catostomidae. The record is from RefSeq and is a predicted model, not a curated record. The transcript has a single exon.
AACCUGUGAUGACUCGAUUCUGCCAAAUGAGUCUGCUGAUUAUACUCCUACCGUUCCAUUAUCUCUGAGGUU